CAUGCUUGAAAUGCAUAGAGAAAGCUAAAAACAAUAAACGGUCAUACUGAAACUGGCUGUUAAGCCAGAACCAGGAUUGCCUUACCCCUUUGUAGGGUGGAUAGUACCCUACACACCUGCAGAGUUUCAGCCUCCUAGCGUUUUCCCUCUUGGA
Molecule: long non-coding RNA, 154 nt
Organism: Protopterus annectens (West African lungfish)
Lineage: Eukaryota; Metazoa; Chordata; Ceratodontiformes; Protopteridae
Exons: 2
Source: RefSeq, a predicted model, not a curated record